CAGUCGCCACGGGAAUACGGAGGGUGCAAGCGUUAAUCGGAAUUACUGGGCGUAAAGCGCACGCAGGCGGUCUGACAAGUCAGAUGUGAAAUCCCCGGGCUUAACCUGGGAACUGCAUUUGAAACUGUCAGGCUGGAGUCUUGUAGAGGGGGGUGGAAUUCCAGGUGUAGCGGUGAAAUGCGUAGAGAUCUGGAGGAAUACCGGUGGCGAAGGCGGCCCCCUGGACAAAGACUGACGCUCAGGUGCGAAAGCGUGGGGAGCAAACAGGAUUAGAUACCCGAGUAGUCCCUGUCUCUUAUAU
This 301-nucleotide ribosomal RNA is filed under the name uncultured bacterium. RNAcentral describes it as "partial 16S ribosomal RNA". It matches the Rfam family "Bacterial small subunit ribosomal RNA", at positions 509 to 809 of the family's 1533-position model. The record is from RNAcentral.